RNAcentral lists this ribosomal RNA (309 nucleotides) under uncultured bacterium. RNAcentral's name for it is "partial 16S ribosomal RNA". It matches the Rfam family "Bacterial small subunit ribosomal RNA", at positions 504 to 807 of the family's 1533-position model. The record is from RNAcentral.
AGAGACAGCAGUAGCCGCGGUAAUACGUAGGUGGCAAGCGUUGUCCGGAAUUAUUGGGCGUAAAGGGCUCGCAGGCGGUUUCUUAAGUCUGAUGUGAAAGCCCCCAGCUCAACCGGGGAGGGUCAUUGGAAACUGGGAAACUUGAGUGCAGAAGAGGAGAGUGGAAUUCCACGUGUAGCGGUGAAAUGCGUAGAGAUGUGGAGGAACACCAGUGGCGAAGGCGACUCUCUGGUCUGUAACUGACGCUGAGGAGCGAAAGCGUGGGGAGCGAACAGGAUUAGAUACCCCCGUAGUCCCUGUCUCUUAUAC